Molecule: non-coding RNA, 24 nt
Filed under: Arabidopsis thaliana (thale cress)
Lineage: Eukaryota; Viridiplantae; Streptophyta; Magnoliopsida; Brassicales; Brassicaceae
Source: RNAcentral
UAACCAAAUCAGCCGAUAGGGUAC